Musa acuminata AAA Group (dessert banana) is the source of this 1578-nucleotide RNA transcript. RefSeq lists it as uncharacterized. The record is from RefSeq and is a predicted model, not a curated record. The transcript is spliced from 2 exons. Lineage: Eukaryota; Viridiplantae; Streptophyta; Magnoliopsida; Zingiberales; Musaceae.
CAAGCGUUUCGAUUGAUCGAGAUGGGUACAGAAGGGAUAAUGGGCAGAUAUGUUUCUGGGGUUACAGGUGGAGUGGCACCCACUCUGACUUGGAGAAUGGCUGGAAAUGGAAAUCAGCAGCAAAAUCCAAAUUUGAUGGUAAAGUUGCAAUCUUUUUGUGGCUUUGGUGGUCCUCGAUUCGGGUUUACAAGGAACCUGGAAUGAAUUUGAUCUGAGUAGAUGAUGAGUUCCUUCUUCUUUUUCACUGUAAUUUUCUUUUUGUUGUUUUUGCCACCCAUGAUUAGCUGUCCUCUGCUGAUGUUUCUUCGCUUCCGUCUUUAAGCUCUGAAUCGUGCUUCCUCCUCUUGGAUUCUUAGAUUCUUCUCGAGGGAGGUGUCGAGUUCCGGUGACAGAGUGGUGACUGUUAGCAAGCUCGUGUUAUCUUGAGGAGAAAGAUGAGAUCUUUAAGCGGUAUGGGGAUCGGCUUAAGCGUCGUCUCAGGUUGCCUGUUCUUGGCUCUUGUUGCAGAGCUGUGCUACUUGUUCUGGUGGAGGAAGAUAAGCGAUGGAGACAUGGAGGACAGCUGCAGGGCUUGUUUGCCUGCCAAAGGACUUGUUCACCUCUUCUGCUGGAAGAAGCCACAUUCCUUGAGCUUCGCAGCACCCGACCGAGUGGAUGUAACUUCUUGUUCCGAUGAGGGACAACCGGAAGGCAAAGACCUCCUUCUGAAUCCACUCCGUAGGGAGGAUACCGUGGAGGCGGAGCUGAUGAGGUUUCAUGGUCUCCCAGGGCCUCCCAGACUUCUCUUCACCAUUAAGGAGGAAUCGAAGGAGGAUUUGGAGUCCGAGGAUAGCAUGUCCAGAGGUGGGAGGAGCAGGAAAGGUUCCCGGAGGAAGAGCUUGAAUGAUCUGUUCCUGUCUUCGGACACCCCGUUCAUGACACCGCUCCCUUCUCCUCCUCUUUUCUCUCCGGCACCGACUCCCUUCGAUUGCUACAAGCAAAGUGGAUUCAACCCCCUCUUCGAGUCCUCCAAGGAAGAAGAUUUGAUCAGGAUGUGGUCGUCGCCACCUCCCAAGUUCAAGUUUCUCAAGGACGCCGAGGAGAAAUUACACAAGAAGAAGCUGAUGGGAGAAGAGACUGGUCAUCUUUCUCAUCCUCCUCCUCCUCCUCCUCCUCCUGCUAUUUCACGUCCCACAGUCCCAGAAGAGGAAGAUGGAUCUUUCAUCACUAUAGUCAUAGGAAAGAACAGAGACAGAGGUCAGCAACACCAUCCUUGCUCCUCACAGGUGACUCCAGUACCUUCCUCUCCUUCAAGCAUCAAACUGCUACAUGGGAAUCACAGUCACUAAUUCCUCAUCGACAAAACUCGCAUUAUGGCAGUGAAUUUAGUAGCCACAUCAAUUCUUUCGUGAUGUACUCUCUCUCUCUCUCUCCACUUUCACUCAAAAUCAUUAUCUUUUGCUGGAGCGAGUGGAAGUCAUCAGACACCUCUUUUUCCGGCUUCCAUGUGAUGGAUGGUGAUGUGUAGAGUUGGCGUGCAGCGCUAUGCCUUCCCUAUCCUUUCAUCUGCUUCGAGGAAACAGAGUGCUUUCCCCUCCA